AUACGGAGGGUGCAAGCGUUAAUCGGAAUUACUGGGCGUAAAGCGCGCGUAGGCGGCUCAGUCAGUCGGAUGUGAAAGCCCCGGGCUCAACCUGGGAAUUGCAUUCGAUACUGCUGAGCUAGAGUAUGGAAGAGGGAAGUGGAAUUCCGGGUGUAGCGGUGAAAUGCGUAGAUAUCCGGAGGAACACCAGUGGCGAAGGCGACUUCCUGGGCCAAUACUGACGCUGAGGUGCGAAAGCGUGGGGAGCAAACAGGAUUAGAUACCCCAGUAGUCC
RNAcentral lists this ribosomal RNA (274 nucleotides) under uncultured bacterium. Its description in RNAcentral is "partial 16S ribosomal RNA". It matches the Rfam family "Bacterial small subunit ribosomal RNA", at positions 523 to 796 of the family's 1533-position model. The record is from RNAcentral.